AUGCAUGAAGAGGAUGAUGUGGACAAAAUACUCAUUUGCCUAAUAAUUCUGCACUCCCUGUACUUCAUCUCCACCAUACUUAACCCAAGGUUUAAAGAUCGCUUCUUCUCCAACAACACUGCUCCGGAGGCCAAGCUGCACCUGAAGCAGGAGCUGUAGAUGAUGUCCAGAGCUGAGGCAGAGGGGAGUUGGGCAGAAUCUGCAGAACCUCCUGCUAAACUGUUCCUCAAGGCCCAGGCCAGCACUAGCAGCAGUCUGGACACUGUAUUUGAAGAAAUCGCUAAGGAGCAGCCCCAGGCAGCACAGCCGCUGGCAGCAGGUGCUGCCAUUGAGCUCGACACAUACCUCGGAGAGGUCCCAAGCCCUCGUGAAGACAGUCCUCUGAAGUACUGGGGUGUCAACAAAAUCAGGUUCCCCACUUUGGCUAAAAUGGCGCAUAAAUACCUCUUAGCCCCAUGUAGCAGUGUGGAAAGUGAAAGGCUUUUUAGCUCAGUGUCACACAUUAUAGAUGAAAACAGAAACAGGCUGACUGCUGAUAAUGCAGAAAAGCUACUUUUCUUUAAAAAAAAA
Molecule: long non-coding RNA, 570 nt
Organism: Oreochromis niloticus (Nile tilapia)
Lineage: Eukaryota; Metazoa; Chordata; Actinopteri; Cichliformes; Cichlidae
Exons: 2
Source: RefSeq, a predicted model, not a curated record